AAGUCGUAACAACCGCGUGAAUUAAUUGAAUCAACUUUAUACCCCGACCUGGAUACUAGAGAAUCUGUUUAGAAUGCACGGAGUGAUGAGUGUGUAUUAAAUGUAAGAGCUUGCUCCCCUCUUUAAUACAUACGGUGUAUCUAAACUAGUAUUACGAGUUUCACUGUAUGCAUGCUUUAUUGCGUGUAUCCAUUGAAACGGAGAUUUUACAAGACCUCUAUAGUUUCAGGCUUUAACUUAGUUCCCUUCAUCGCUGGAACGCAACAACCCCUUUCACCAUUUAUACCAAUUGACUGAUAUGUUUUUAUGGUAGCGAAAGCUACGUAAUAAAACAAAACUAAUCAAAUAUCUAAGCACAACUCUUAGCAACGGAUAUCUUGGUUCUC
Molecule: unclassified non-coding RNA, 386 nt
Filed under: fungal sp.
Lineage: Eukaryota; Fungi
Description: partial internal transcribed spacer region
Source: RNAcentral